Molecule: small nuclear RNA, 162 nt
Filed under: Mesocricetus auratus (golden hamster)
Lineage: Eukaryota; Metazoa; Chordata; Mammalia; Rodentia; Cricetidae
Description: U1 spliceosomal RNA (ENSMAUG00000003290.1)
Rfam family: U1 spliceosomal RNA
About the family: U1 is a small nuclear RNA (snRNA) component of the spliceosome (involved in pre-mRNA splicing). Its 5' end forms complementary base pairs with the 5' splice junction, thus defining the 5' donor site of an intron.
Source: RNAcentral
AAAAGGAGGGAGGGAAACAGACAACAUAGUCAUAAAGGUGAUUUUCCGAGGUGAGGCUUGUCUUAACAUUCUGGAUAUGCUGAGCCCUGUGACCUCCCCAGGUGUGGGAAUGUCCUCUGCAUUGUUUGUGGUAGUGAGGGACAGCAUUUGUGCUCUGUCUUA